CUUUAAAAUUUUUCUCUUUCCUUUCUUUUUAUAAUGAAUAUUUUUGCGAUCAUCAGUAUUUCAUAUCCACGAGAAAACAAUAAUAUCGGCGAUAUUCACGUUGAACAUGUUACAAUGUGGUACGUUGUUGGAUCGGAUAUAUUGCGUGCGUAUCAACUUACCCAUGACGGAUCGAAAACAAAUGCAAAACUAUAUGCAAAACUAAAAUAUUGAGAAAAAAUAAGAGAAACCAAUCGUGGAAGUAUGUAUAUGGGAAAAUAUCAUCAUUAGAAUUAAAUGAUUUAUAAAAAUCAAAAUUAACUCGACAUGUGUCUACUGUCAUCCUUUAUUCUUGCAAUAAUAUUUUGAAAAAUAAAGAAAUAUUAGAUAGAACAUUUUAAUUAAAGAGCAUCAUCCUUGAAAAGAAUUAUUGCAAACAUUCUUUAGUUUUCUGGGAAACGGCGGAUUCUGUUAGUGGCGUAGUUUUUCAGUCUCAUUCUAGGAAUUUUUCUUAGAUUGGAGUUGUCGCUCAAUCAGAGAGCUGGUCCACAAUAUUAUUGAUCAUUUGUGUAUCCCACUAAAGAUUUGCAAUCUCGCGAGAUAAGCAUGGAAGAAGUUUUAGAGAAAAAAUUCAUCCAAUAUACCUGUCACUGCACACUGUUAACGUACACAGACACCCUUAAGAUGUUAUGGAGAAGCAGGAUUCCUUAUUAUUGCUGAUCUCUUCAGGAAAGAGAAACCUAUAUGAUUUUGCAAAAUGUGGUCUUUAUCUGGAUCAUCAGAAUGUUGUUUAGAAUAUUCGAUAUGUUGAAAUAGUUGGAUGAACCUGUACACAAGUGUCCUGCAAAAUUCCUUGAUAUUAGCACAGGAAAGAUAAGAUAUCGCUAUCUUUUGUGAAAUCAAGAUCACCGAAAAUAAAAAAAUUGCGAUCACUUUUAAAUAAUGCACGAAAUAGAUUUUUAGAUGGAGAAAGUGAAACUAGAAUGAAAAGAAAAAGAGUCCUUUUUUGUAUUAGUAGUAUCUAUCUUACAGAAAGUUAUUGAUUAUAACCUGCUUUAUGCUUUACCCCCAAUUUAUCAUUAUUUAAUAUAUUGAUGAAAUUU
This is a long non-coding RNA of Apis cerana (Asiatic honeybee), 1082 nucleotides long. RefSeq lists it as uncharacterized. The record is from RefSeq and is a predicted model, not a curated record. Lineage: Eukaryota; Metazoa; Arthropoda; Insecta; Hymenoptera; Apidae.